UGUCAACCGCUAAUAACCGCU
This 21-nucleotide small nuclear RNA is filed under the name Arabidopsis thaliana (thale cress). Its description in RNAcentral is "snRNA_13788". Lineage: Eukaryota; Viridiplantae; Streptophyta; Magnoliopsida; Brassicales; Brassicaceae. The record is from RNAcentral.